Molecule: non-coding RNA, 28 nt
Filed under: Rattus norvegicus (Norway rat)
Lineage: Eukaryota; Metazoa; Chordata; Mammalia; Rodentia; Muridae
Source: RNAcentral
UGGCAAAAAAGUAGGUGUCAGCCCCAGC